This 458-nucleotide ribosomal RNA is filed under the name uncultured bacterium. Its description in RNAcentral is "partial 16S ribosomal RNA". It matches the Rfam family "Bacterial small subunit ribosomal RNA", at positions 338 to 795 of the family's 1533-position model. The record is from RNAcentral.
CCUACGAGAGGCAGCAGUGGGGAAUAUUGCACAAUGGGGGAAACCCUGAUGCAGCGACGCCGCGUGAGUGAAGAAGUAAUUCGUUACGUAAAGCUCUAUCAGCAGGGAAGAAACACUGACCUUACGGUCAGCAGACGGUACCUGAGUAAGAAGCCCCGGCUAACUACGUGCCAGCAGCCGCGGUAAUACGUAGGGGGCAAGCGUUAUCCGGAUUUACUGGGUGUAAAGGGAGCGUAGACGAGGAGCCAAGUCUGGAGUGAAAUGCAGAAGCUCAACUGCGGAACUGCUUUGGAAACUGGCGAACUAGAGUGCGGGAGGGGUAAGCGGAAGUCCUAGUGCAGCGGGGAAAUGCGUAGAUAUUAGGAGGAACACCGGUGGCGAAGGCGGCUUACUGGACCGUAACUGACGUUGAGGCUCGAAAGCGGGGGGAGCAAACAGGAUUAGAUACCCGUGUAGUC